AACGAACGCUGGCGGCGUGGAUAAGACAUGCAAGUCGAACGGGAACUUUCGCUGUAGCAAUACAGUGAAAGUUCUAGUGGCGAACGGGUGCGUAACACGUGGGCAAUCUGCCUUAAAGUGGGGGAUAGCUCGGCGAAAGCCGAAUUAAUACCGCAUGUGAUGAGAGACGACAUCGUCUUGAAAUCAAAGCCGGGGCAACCUGGCGCUUUUUGAGGAGUCCGCGGCCUAUCAGCUAGUUGGUGGGGUAACGGCUCACCAAGGCUAUGACGGGUAGCUGGUCUGAGAGGACGACCAGUCACACUGGAACUGAGACACGGUCCAGACACCUACGGGUGGCAGCAGUCGAGAAUUUUUGACAAUGGGGGAAACCCUGAUCGAGCGACGCCGCGUGGAGGAUGAAGGUCUUCGGGUUGUAAACUCCUGUCAUUUGGGAACAAGUNCUAACAAGUAACUACUGUUGGCUUGAUAGUACCAGAAGAGGAAGAGACGGCUAACUCUGUGCCAGC
RNAcentral lists this ribosomal RNA (506 nucleotides) under uncultured bacterium. RNAcentral describes it as "bacterial SSU rRNA". It matches the Rfam family "Bacterial small subunit ribosomal RNA", at positions 29 to 512 of the family's 1533-position model. The record is from RNAcentral.